UGGGGAAUUUUGGACAAUGGGCGCAAGCCUGAUCCAGCCAUGCCGCGUGAGUGAAGAAGGCCUUCGGGUUGUAAAGCUCUUUUAGAUGUGAAGAUAAUGACGGUAGCAUCAGAAAAAGCCCCGGCUAAAUUCGUGCCAGCAGCCGCGGUAAUACGAAUGGGGCAAGCGUUGUUCGGAAUCACUGGGCUUAAAGCGUGCGCAGGCGGAUUUGCAAGUCAGAAGUGAAAUCCCAGGGCUCAACCCUGGAAUUGCUUUUGAAACUGCAAAUCUAGAAUCCCGGAGAGGUUAGUAGAAUUCCGAGUGUAGAGGUGAAAUUCGCAGAUAUUCGGAGGAAUACCAGUGGCGUAAGCGACUAACUGGACGGGCAUUGACGCUCAGGCACGAAAGCAUGGGGAGCAAACAGGAUUAGAUACCCUGGUAGUCCAUGCCAUAAACGAUGUGUGCUAGUUGUCGGGACCUUCGGUCUCGGUGACGCAGCGAAAGCGGUAAGCACACCGCCUGGGGAGUACGGUCGCAAGAUUAA
Molecule: ribosomal RNA, 523 nt
Filed under: uncultured Pseudomonadota bacterium
Lineage: Bacteria; Pseudomonadati; Pseudomonadota
Description: bacterial SSU rRNA
Rfam family: Bacterial small subunit ribosomal RNA
Source: RNAcentral